Molecule: non-coding RNA, 29 nt
Filed under: Homo sapiens (human)
Lineage: Eukaryota; Metazoa; Chordata; Mammalia; Primates; Hominidae
Source: RNAcentral
UAGUUCACAAAUCUCAUUGUGAAGAGGCA